CAUUUGUAAGCGAGAUACCGCUACUUGGGUAUUUGGUCGUUUAAAGAGGCUUCGAAGGUCUCUAGUCUUGAAAAAGGCUACAUCGUCAAAUUGCUGGAACACCCUCCACAACUCUGUGCACCAAGUCGUCUUGUAAUAAAGGCGAUGGCCAGGUAAAAUAAUACUGGGUAAGGUAAUAGCCACACGAGAAUGGGCAAUCAGCAGCCAAUUCUGCCAAUCAAAUGGCGGAUGCAGUUCACAGACUAAAUGGCGAUGGGUCUGUCAUUAGUGCAGGCAUAAGAUAUAGUCGGAUUUGUUGCGAAAGCUUCAGAGUUGAACGCAGAUACCGUUGUAGUCUUAACAGUAAACGAUGCCGACUAGGGAUCGGACGAGGAUUUUUAAUGACUCGUUCGGCACCUGAAGAGAAAUCUUUAAGUCUAGGUUCGGGGGGGAGUAUGGUCGACUUGUGGCCAUAAAUAAGGCUCGUCAUGCCUUAGUUUUGAGAUCGGCGGCUCAAGGCAACACUUGCAAAUUGCGGCGAUUUCUUGAAGCUCAGGGUACCAAGCAUUAAUUGAAAGAUUGAUGUGGCCAGUAUUAGUUUGCUGGGUAGGGU
This 592-nucleotide ribosomal RNA is filed under the name Cystobasidiomycetes sp. RNAcentral describes it as "partial small subunit ribosomal RNA". The stretch from base 21 to 310 matches the Rfam family "Group I catalytic intron". Lineage: Eukaryota; Fungi; Basidiomycota; Cystobasidiomycetes. The record is from RNAcentral.